Molecule: ribosomal RNA, 497 nt
Filed under: uncultured bacterium
Lineage: Bacteria
Description: partial 16S ribosomal RNA
Rfam family: Bacterial small subunit ribosomal RNA
Source: RNAcentral
GAUGAACGCUGGCGGCGUGCCUAAUACAUGCAAGUCGAGCGACCAGACGAUGAGCUUGCUCCUCUAACGGUAGCGGCGGACGGGUGAGUAACAAGUAGAUAACCUACUUAUAAGACUUGGAUAACUUCGGGAAACAGCAGAUAAUACUGGCUAAUAUAUUGAACCGCAUGGUUCAAUAGUGAUAGACGGUUUUGGUGUCUCUAUGAGACGGUUCCGGGCCGCAUUAGCUAGUUGGUAAGGUAACGGCUAACCAAGGCAACGAUGCGUAGCCGACCUGAGAGGGUGAUCAGCCACACUGGAACUGAGACACGGUCCAGACUCCUACGGGAGGCAGCAGUAGGGAAUAUUGCGCAAUGGGCGAAAGCCUGAUGGAGCCACGCCGCGUGAGUGAUGAAGGUCUUCGGAUCGUAAAGCCCUGUUAUUAGGGAAGAAAAAAAGUGGAAGUAAACAUGCACGUCUUGACGGUACCCAAUCAGAAAGCAACGGCUAACUACGUG